CCAAAAUUAGAUCUCUUUCAUCAAUCUCUCUCUGCUGGAAGUUGAGGUUAACCUCACGGGAGUUUAGGUCCUCGACCUCGCCGACUCCACAGCCUCCUCAUCUCUCUUUGGCCUCUCUUUGCAGGAGAUCAAGAUAAACAAGAUGGCUGUAGGCAGAGUUUUUGUUCCUAACAAGACGUUGGUCUCCUCUCCCAAGUUUCCAACAGGUUGUUUUCCUCUCCCAAGUUCCCAACAAACAAGAAGGCGUGCUCUCCUCUCCCAGAUAACCAAGGUUCAACAUUCCUUUUCCCAAAUUGAUUAUUCUUUUCUUUGCCAAAUUGAUUAUUUUUUUCUUUGCCCAAAUUGUUUCUUCACUCUUUACAACUUAUUCUUUCCUUUGCCAAGGGCAAAAUGUGUGCUCUCUCUGAUCCUCUCCACUCCACGCCACACCAUCUCUCUCAUAUUACAAAGUACUUGGAAUUUCAAGCCAUGAAAUGAUUGCAAGAAGAAACAAAGCAAAUCAGAAGGUGAAUCCCUAAUUUGUCAAUGCUUUCCAUAUAUAAUUUGUUUUAAGUAGAAAUUUUCAUAUAUUAUUUUUGUACUUAUUUUACUAGAAUUUUUUGCUAGUUGAUGAUUGUAUUUUCUUGAGUUCUUGAUUGUUGCUUGUUGAUGAUUGUACUUGCUUUAUUAUUAUUUUUAUCUUCAAUUUUCUUUUGUAUGCAACAUAGAUGUAAGUGAUGCCAUUAAGGAUGAUUUUUAUUUAAUUUAUGGAUUUUAAAAUUUUAAAAUUUGUUAUUUUACUUGUACAUAUAAGGCCUCAUCAGUUUUCUUUGCACAUAUGAGAACUUUUGGUUUUUCUAGAAAUUGCAGUAUAUUUUUCGAUCUUCUUCUUCUAUUGCAUUAUUCAUAUUUUGUUGUGAAACUCAAUUGUUCUGCGGCUGAGUUAUGUUUUUUGAAGUUAAUGAAAAUUAUGCAAUUGUUUCAUUAGUGGAUAUUCCUUUCCAACUGUCAUUCAAUGUUUGUUUUCAUGAAGUUUUUGGGUUGUUGUUUUGUUAGUGUUGUAGUAGAUUGAUCAGAAAUUGCAGAGCAGUUUCCUGUUUCAUAUUUCUAUUUUAGAAUAAUUUUUGCAAGUCUAUGGGAAUAUUAUGAUUGUUCAUCGACUUAAUUGUGCUUUGAACUUAGUUUUAGUACUUUAAUUAUGGCUUUGCCAUUUGGUUUCUAUGCAAACACGGGCAGAUGUUUUGUCAUAAAAUGCAUUAUAGUUCUGUUUAUUGCAAUUUUUGAUAAGAAAUUGCAGUGCAGUUUCCUGUUCCAUAUUUCGAUUUUAGAAUAAUUUUUCCAAGUCUAUGGGAAUGUUACAAUUGCUCAUCUACUUAUAUGUGUUUUGAACAUAGUUUUAGCACUUUGAUCAUGGCUUUGCCUUUUGGUUUCUUUUCACUUUUGGGCAUAUUUUUUUUUUUUUCAUAAACUGCACUGAAGUUUCUGUUUGUUGCAUUUUUUUAUUUAUCAAAAACUGCAAUGCAGUUUCCUAUUCCAUAAUUUGAUUUUAGAACAAUUUUUCCAAGUCUAUAGGAAUGUUACAACUGCUCAUCUACUUAUAUGUGUAUUGAACUUAAUUUUAGUACUUUGAUCAUGGCUUUGCCUUUUGGUUUCUUUUCAUAUUUAAGCAGAUUUUUUUUAUUUUUUUUUACAUUUUUUUAUCAAAAACUGCAGUGCAGUUUCCUAUUCCAUAUUUCAAUUUUAGAAUAAUUUUUGCAACUCGAUGAGAAUAUUACAGCUGUUCAUCGAAUUAAAUGUGUUUUGAACUUAGUUUUAGUACUUUGAUCAUGGCUUUGCCUUUUGGUUUCUUUUCACAUUUGAGCAAAUGUUGUCAUAAACUGCAUUGCAGUUUCAAUUUGUUGCAAUUUUUGAUAAGAAACUGCAGUGCAGUUUCCUGUUCCUUAUUUCGAUUUUAGAAUAAUUUUUCCAAGUCUAUGGGAAUAUUACAACUGCUCAUCUACUUAUAUGUGUUUUGAACUUAGUUUUAGUACUUUGAUCAUGGCUUUGCCUUUUGGUUUCUUUUCACUUUUGGGCAUAUUUUUUUCAUAAACUGCACUGAAGUUUCUGUUUGUUGCAUUUUUUUAUUAUCAGAAACUGCAAUGUAGUUUCCUGUUCCAUAUUUCAAUUUUAGAAUAAUUUUUUCAAAUCUAUGGGAAUGCUAGAGAUGCUCAUUGACUUAAAUGUGUUCUGAACUUAGUUUUAGUACUUUGAUCAUGGCUUUGCCUUUUAGUUUCUUUGCAAAUUUGAGCAAAUGUUGUCAUAAACUAUGUUGCAAUUUUAGUUUGUUGUAGUUUUUUUAUCAGAAACUGCAGUGCAAUUUCCUGUUCCAUUUUCGUUUGUUGCAUCUUAUUAUAAGAUUAUAUGACAGUAGAAAUAUAUAACAAAUCUUUUCUCAGAUUAGGCUGACCACAUCAUUGUUGUAAUCAACAACCUCAUCUUCCUCUUCUUCUUCUCCAGCUUCUGUUUUUGCUUUCCCUUUCUUUGUUUUCUUCUUUUGUUUUGUGUUGGCCUUUUCUUUCUUUGGUUUGUUUGCCAUGACAAUUUUCUUUUGUAAUUCUUCUUCUACGAGGCCUUUUGAUGGUUUUUUUUUUUUUUUUGUUUUUUUUUGUUUUUUGUUUUACAGUGAAUCUAUGCUGAAAUAUUUUUUAUUUUUUUAUUUUUUUAAUCGGUGAUUGUUUAUAUAAAUAUUGUGUAAUUGAAUAGAUAUCACAAAAACAAGUUUGGUGUAGUGGUUUUUGAGUGAGGCUUCCUCCUUUGAGGGUCAAGUUUCAACUCCCUUUAAUGACACAAAUUCUUCUAUUUUUUUAGGGUGAAUAAAGGGCAAUGGAGUUAGUCCCUGGUUGGUCGGAGAUGGGCGACGGCAGGUGGCGGUGGCGGUAGGUGGCGGCAGCUAGUCGACGGUGGUUGAUCAGCGGCGGCUCUAGUGGCUAACCUGCGGCGGUGGUGGCAGUUGGCAGGAAGGAGGUUGGCGGCAGGUGGUGAUGGUUGACCUGCGACGGUGGCAGUUAGCCGGAAGGAGGUUGUCCGAUGGCAGGUGGUGGUGGUUGGCCUUGUGCUAAUUUUGAUAUUAAAGGAGUCGCAUUGUGUGUAAUUUUAAUUUUUUUUAAUUACAUUAUUAUAAAAUUAGAACUACUUUUUUGUCUUUGGCCUUAUGCUAAUUAGGUGAAAUUGUAUUCCUAUCUUCCAAAUUAGUAAACUAUAUAGUGUCUUAAAAAUGAAAGAUC
RNAcentral lists this long non-coding RNA (3242 nucleotides) under Prunus dulcis (almond). Its description in RNAcentral is "sRNA ncRNA". The record is from RNAcentral. Lineage: Eukaryota; Viridiplantae; Streptophyta; Magnoliopsida; Rosales; Rosaceae.